RNAcentral lists this ribosomal RNA (254 nucleotides) under uncultured bacterium. RNAcentral describes it as "partial 16S ribosomal RNA". It matches the Rfam family "Bacterial small subunit ribosomal RNA", at positions 524 to 776 of the family's 1533-position model. The record is from RNAcentral.
UACGUAGGGUGCGAGCGUUGUCCGGAAUUAUUGGGCGUAAAGAGCUCGUAGGCGGUCUGUCGCGUCGAUCGUGAAAACUUGGGGCUUAACCCUGAGCUUGCGGUCGAUACGGGCAUGACUGGAGUUCGGCAGGGGAGACUGGAAUUCCUGGUGUAGCGGUGAAAUUCGUAGAUAUCGGGAGGAACACCGGUGGCGAAGGCGGCGACCUGGGUGGAUACUGACGCUGAGGCGCGAAAGCGUGGGGAGCAAACAGG